AUGCCCAAGACCCACGGUGAAGCGCCUUCGAAGGGGGUGUGGAUCUCACCGAACCCUCACAUGAAGCAGGAGCAACACGAUGCACGGUGCCGAGGCGGGACACAUGCGGCACAUCAAGGCAUGAUAAUGAGCUUAGAGGACGCCAGGGGUUGCGACAUUCACGCGCACGAUGACCAUUCUCCAAACAACGGGAGCACCGCAACGGAUCUCUGCAAACAACCGCACGAUGCCCAUAAGCAAGGCAUCUACAGCAUCUACCAUGGAGCCAAGCAGGGAUGGGACGAGGAGGACGAGGAGCCAUCAUCGAGGAUGGCGACGAAGUCGAACGACGCGGGCCGCGCCGCGGUAGCACCUCCUGCCAACCCUCACUUGUUCGUCGUGGCGUACAUUCGUAUUGGCCUGAAAGGCCAGUGUGCCGUCGUCCUUCUUGGCGGCUUCGUCUCCGAUCCGAGGAACGUAGAUUUCCACUAUCUGACCAUCAUCGCAUUCAUGCAGGCUGCCGGGCAAGAUUAUGGCAUCGCCAAGGGAGAUGCAAGUAAAGCAAAUCUGAAGCCGGCGCUGAACUUAUUCUACGGCGUAUCCUUUGCUCAGGGCGCAAUAUUCUUAUUGUGUACAGCCAUUGUUGAGCGAUGGCUAAAUGAUAUUUUAAGCCAACGCCAUGGUUUCAGCCAUGUACUUCGUGGAUACUCGCGCAAAACCAUGCACAUGGGUCUAAAUGACCCCGCUUCCAUAAGGAGCUGGAAUUUGAUCACAUAUGGUGCUGACUUGCUGGAUUCCCAAUGUUUGAAUGACUAUGCAGCUGGAGCACGGGUACUAGCCAUGCUGAUUGAUCAUGAUAUACCGUUACAGAUAAGACGGCUCUUGAUCAGCUCCAAUGAAUUUGUAGAAGAUAUCAAGAGUAGUGUUGCAUGGACCAAGGUAGUAGACGUAUCACUCAAAGUGGUGACCCGGCUCAUGGGUUCACCAGGAAGCACAGGCAAAGAGAUGCGAAGUCUAAUUGCAAAUGCUAGUCGUGUGGUCAGAAACCUGGAGGCCGUUCUGGACAUCGACAUGAAGAGUAACAGCAGCAUCAUAUGGCUACUGACGGGAGCUUUAGAAGCUCUUACACGAUUAGCAUUGCAUCAUCCAGAAAGUGCGUCUGCAGGAAAACUUAUUGAGAGAGCACUGCACAUAUUUCUUUCUACAGAUUGGUUGGAAGAUUAUUUGAAAUAUGAGAAGAACGUGAUGAAAGAAGCUAAGAAAACUGUAAACCAGCUUAAACAAUAUGCUGGUUUUGUAUUGGAAAUGCUAUCCAAUCAUCCAGAGGCUAUCAAGAGCUUCACAGUAUGUGAUGAUGAUAUCCAUCGUCUUACAAAAUUGCUUGACUGCAAUAUCAAGACCACUGAAUUCAAAAUAAGUGCAACAGAUAUAGUGGAAAUAGAGAUCGACAUUGAUUAUCGUAUUAGCGCAGCAUUAAUCUUGAAGCAUUUGAGCAACUACGUCAAAUUGCCAACCUUACGGAAGGCACUCAGGCAAUUGCUUCAAGAUGAGGCUUCCACUUUAAAGUGCCACAUCAAGAACAGGAUGAUGCAGGCAGCACUGUUAUCACUCGUCGUGACCAUAUGUGCAAACACCAGUAUUAAUCUUGCAGGAAUCUUACUUUUGCAGACACCAUCAGACACCCUGGAAGAUUUUCUGGUGACGCUCAAGAAGAUGGUGGAUGAAAACAUGUACGCCACCCCUACAUGCCUGGCGAUACAGAAGCUUACCUGCCAGAUGGUUAAAGAAUUCAUGAAGCAUGAUCGAAACAUCCAAGUGAUUGAUAAGCACAAUAUUGUUGGCACGUUACUGAAGGCUUCAAAGAUGAUGGCCGAGCUCGAGAGCAGCAUGCAUUUCGCUGCUGCCAUUCGUGAUCGCUACGAGAUUAUGGUAAAAGUUCGAAACAGGUGCAGAGAGACCGGGAAUUUUAUCCUUCCCUUAUCUAAAAGAACUGCAACCGCUUGUGUAUUAAGAUUCCAAUCCAUCUUCUGCAUCAAGGCAAGAUCCAAGUCUAUAUUGCGCCUACCAGUGUACGAGUUCAGCUUGGAGCUGCCAACUAAUGUCCUGCCCAAUUACAAUACAAUUCUCACCCACGUGCCACUUCUGUUGAGACUUGCUUAA
RNAcentral lists this ribosomal RNA (2139 nucleotides) under Triticum aestivum (bread wheat). Its description in RNAcentral is "partial small subunit ribosomal RNA". Lineage: Eukaryota; Viridiplantae; Streptophyta; Magnoliopsida; Poales; Poaceae. The record is from RNAcentral.